This 253-nucleotide ribosomal RNA is filed under the name uncultured bacterium. Its description in RNAcentral is "partial 16S ribosomal RNA". It matches the Rfam family "Bacterial small subunit ribosomal RNA", at positions 524 to 776 of the family's 1533-position model. The record is from RNAcentral.
UACGUAGGUCCCGAGCGUUGUCCGGAUUUACUGGGUGUAAAGGGAGCGUAGACGGCAGGGCAAGUCUGGAGUGAAAGGCAGGGGCCCAACCCCUGGACUGCUCUGGAAACUGUCCGGCUGGAGUGCAGGAGAGGUAAGUGGAAUUCCUAGUGUAGCGGUGAAAUGCGUAGAUAUUAGGAGGAACACCAGUGGCGAAGGCGGCUUACUGGACUGUAACUGACGUUGAGGCUCGAAAGCGUGGGGAGCAAACAGG